Molecule: long non-coding RNA, 3139 nt
Organism: Canis lupus familiaris (dog)
Lineage: Eukaryota; Metazoa; Chordata; Mammalia; Carnivora; Canidae
Exons: 5
Source: RefSeq, a predicted model, not a curated record
GCGCCUGCGUCCCUCGGCUCCCAGCCCCAGGGCGCGUGCACCCCGGUCCCUGCCUUCUGCCUCUCCCUUCGCCCGCGCUGAUUCAGUCUGUGCUUGGGGAAAGGGGGGGAGGAGAGCAGAGUGGGUCCAGGCUGAGCUGUGGGAUAAGGAGUGGGGGGGAACCCCGAGCCCGGACAUUCCUUCCGAGAGUGAGCUCUGGGGAGAGAUGGGAGGAGAGUCCUCUCACAUUUCCCCCUUCCUUCCCCCGAAGGCUGGGCCCCCACGCCCCCCCUCCACUGACCCAUACAUUCCGGGACGGUUACUUGCCUCGUGGUCACUAGAAAAUCGACCCCAUUUCAAGCUGAUGGGCCACCAGUCUGAGUCAGUGCCUGCCCUGAGAGAGUGUGCAUGUGUGGUGGGGGGUAGACUCAAAAGAGAUCAGGGAGGGACUUAGGGGAGGGGAAGUGGGCCCCUGGGUAUCUAGUUGUCAGGCCCUCCUUGUCCUUAAGCAUCACCAUCCAGGCAUUUGGGGGUCCCCUUUUCAGGGCCAGAAUCAAAAGUGGUCCUGUGAAGGGGAAAAGGGCCUGGAUUCAGACUGGGAGGCUCCAGUUCAAGAUCCAGCCGUGCUCUGGGGCAGACCUGGGCAGGGACAGGUGGUGUCUCCUCUCCAGGCCUGUUUCCCCAUGUGGUAUAGACUGCGUUCCUACUGAGACGGAAAUGGUAGGCAGGGACAGAGGGAGGUGAACUAGUGUGCAGAGUGGGCUCUUUUGCUCUGUCUGGCCUCCCUGGGGACUGGGAAGGGAUGAAGCCAGUUCUCCCGUCCCUGGAGCCAGGCCCUGAGCCUUCCUGGCAAGGGCAUGGGGGUUAAGGGGGGCACAUUGUUCCACUCUCCAACCUCACUCUUAUCCCCCAAUCCCCACAAGCCCAGGGAAGGCGGGUGCUGAGGUUUCAUAUUUUCCCCCUCCCAAACUAUUCACCACAGAGCCCAAGUCCAAAUAAGCAGAAAUGCUUCUCUGUGUGUGUAUGUGUGUGCAUACGUGUGCAUGUGCUACACAGACGUGCUCUGUGAGACUCCUUCUUACAUAGGGAAACACCACUGCUCUGAUACCACACUAAGUGUAAGAUCCACACCCACAGACACACUCCACAUACAGCCUGGCAUACACACACCCUCAGGGGCUCACCUAGGCUCUCACAGGCAGGCACCUAAGACAGCCCCGACAAGGACACACUCCAGGUGUGAUCAGAUGGACAGUCUCUUACACACCCACACAUAUGUGCAGCCACCCCAGAGAUGGUCAGACACGGUCAUGCACGCUCUCACUUGAACAUGCACAACAUCUCACACCACCACAGAACUAGAUGCUGACUGCGCCAACCCACAGGCCUGAGUCAUAUGACCCCCAGCAAGGGAGCUUUGGGAGUCCCAGGCUCGCCUGGGGCUGGGACACUGAGGGCUGGGACUAGAAGAAGGGAUGACAUGGGGAUUGAGCUUUUCUGUGCUUGCGCUGGAGAAAGGAAGGGAGAGGAAAGCGCAGGCUGCCACCCACCACAGGCUGCUUUCUGUACACUGCAGGGCCCAGGGAAGUAUUUACUAAGCACCUACUGUGUGCUCGGCCCUGUGGAUAUAGAGAUGAACAAAGCCCAAUUCCUGCUCAGAAAAGGCUUUCCGACUAGCAGCAUGAACACCCCACAUGAAGGAUGAAGCUGAGCCUCCAGGAAUGACUGCCCUGAAUGCCGCUGCAGUGCCAGCUUGCUCCUGCUCCAGGCAGAGUUUCCAUGCUCCUGGCCUCCUCCCCUCAGCUCCUCCCUGGUGGAGCCUAUUGCACUCAGAGAGAAAAACAGAAAGCCAAGAAGGGAGUGGACUUGCUCAGGAUCACACAGCUUGAGGCGACAAUGAUACCUCUACAGGCUCCAUAAGAGGGAUAGUGACUUCCAGCAGCUCCUUUGCCAACAGGGAUGGAGCUAUUAGGGGGGGAGGCUGCCAAGUUACCUCCUCUAAGAAGCCUUCCAUGACCUCCAUCUCAGCUGGAUGCUCCUCCUCCGGCACCUGCCCUGCUCCAUUCUUUCACAGUGCUCUGUGGUGCUGCUACCAAGGCUCCCCCUCCCUCUCAAUUUGCUCUCAGUGGCUGGAGGUCACUAUGCAUAGUGACCAGCAAGGGGCUCCUUCAGUGCCCAUUUGUUAAAGGACUGGAUGUUGAAGAACAAGCAAGCAAAGCCCCAGCUGGUCCAGGGAAGCCGGAGGGACCCUCAUAGUAGAUUGGGGACAGGCAGCAUUUUGUGGGAUCCAGCAUCCCCAUCAGCCUCAGGCCUGGCCAGGCCAGGACCCUGAGAACCCCGGGCCCCCUCUGGAAUUAGCAAUACACUUCUUGAACACUCAGGCCUCUCUUUUAUUUUAAAAAAUAUUUAUUUAUUCAUGAGAGGCACAGAGAGAGAGAGGCAGAGACAUAGGCAGAGGGAGAAGCAGGCUCCCUGCAGGGAGCCUGAUGCGGGACUCGAUCCCAGGACCCCAGGAUCACGACCUGAGCCAAAGGCAGACGCUCAACCACUGAGCCACCCAGGUGUCCCUCAGGCCUGUCUUUUAAAAAACAUUCUCCCCUUCCCUUACAAGGGAAGUUCUGGUCUGAAGUAAUUUUCUCUACAAAUACAGUAAGUCCUUGAAAUGGAGCAAAGUCCACUAUAAUGCAACCAAAACUUGGCUCUGUCCUAUGCCUGGGGCCCACCUCAAAUAAAGGUGGGCAAAGCUCUUAUCUCGAGGCAGAGCGGUUGGUAAAAGAUAUGACUGCCUGGUGCUCCUCUGGAGCUUUCUCAUUUGGUCUGCUGCAUGUGGUAAGGUGCCACAGUCUACUUUUGUGCUUUUUUUCGUGAUAGUACGGACCAACAGAAAAAUGUUGCUCUUCAUUGAUCCUGAAAUAACACAACUUUACAUUUUACAUGAUUGAAAGUUUUGGACUUGGCUUCUUGUCUUACAAUGGAGUUUUACUAUAUUAAGCACCUAUUUUGUGCCACAGCGCUGGGCUAGGUUUAUGGCAAUGAACAGAAUUGACAGGUUGUCUGUUCUCAUGGAACUUGCUUUCUCAAUGGAGGAGAUGGACAAUAAGCCAAUAAAAUAGCUGUAAUCUGGGAUGAGGGCUAUGAAGAAAUCAAAGGGCUGAAACAG